GGCCUAACACAUGCAAGUCGAACGGUAACAGGAAGCAGCUUGCUGCUUUGCUGACGAGUGGCGGACGGGUGAGUAAUGUCUGGGAAACUGCCUGAUGGAGGGGGAUAACUACUGGAAACGGUAGCUAAUACCGCAUAACGUCGCAAGACCAAAGAGGGGGACCUUCGGGCCUCUUGCCAUCGGAUGUGCCCAGAUGGGAUUAGCUAGUAGGUGGGGUAACGGCUCACCUAGGCGACGAUCCCUAGCUGGUCUGAGAGGAUGACCAGCCACACUGGAACUGAGACACGGUCCAGACUCCUACGGGAGGCAGCAGUGGGGAAUAUUGCACAAUGGGCGCAAGCCUGAUGCAGCCAUGCCGCGUGUAUGAAGAAGGCCUUCGGGUUGUAAAGUACUUUCAGCGGGGAGGAAGGCGAUGAGGUUAAUAACCUUGUCGAUUGACGUUACCCGCAGAAGAAGCACCGGCUAACUCCGUGCCAGCAGCCGCGGUA
This 488-nucleotide ribosomal RNA is filed under the name Enterobacter hormaechei subsp. steigerwaltii. RNAcentral's name for it is "bacterial SSU rRNA". It matches the Rfam family "Bacterial small subunit ribosomal RNA", at positions 45 to 522 of the family's 1533-position model. Lineage: Bacteria; Pseudomonadati; Pseudomonadota; Gammaproteobacteria; Enterobacterales; Enterobacteriaceae. The record is from RNAcentral.